Molecule: ribosomal RNA, 113 nt
Filed under: Rhododendron griersonianum
Lineage: Eukaryota; Viridiplantae; Streptophyta; Magnoliopsida; Ericales; Ericaceae
Source: RNAcentral
UGCGAUCAUACCAGCACUAAUGCACCGGAUCCCAUCAGAAAUCCGUAGUUAAGCGUGCUUGGGAUAGAGUAGUACUAGGAUGGGUGACCCCCUGGGAAGUCCUCGUGUUGCAC